UACGAAGGAGGCAAGCGUUGUUCGGAAUCACUGGGCUUAAAGCGCAUGUAGGCGGGAAGCAGGGUACCUUGUGAAAUCCCUCGGCUCAACCGAGGAAUAGCUUGGUAAACCGGUUUUCUUGAGGCAGGUAGAGGCGGGCGGAACCAUGGGUGGAGCGGUGAAAUGCGUAGAGAUCCAUGGGAACACCGGGGGCGAAAGCGGCCCGCUGGGCCUGAUCUGACGCUGAGAUGCGAGAGCGUGGGUAGCAAACAGG
This 253-nucleotide ribosomal RNA is filed under the name uncultured bacterium. RNAcentral's name for it is "partial 16S ribosomal RNA". It matches the Rfam family "Bacterial small subunit ribosomal RNA", at positions 524 to 776 of the family's 1533-position model. The record is from RNAcentral.